Molecule: ribosomal RNA, 226 nt
Filed under: uncultured Bacteroidota bacterium
Lineage: Bacteria; Pseudomonadati; Bacteroidota
Description: uncultured Bacteroidetes bacterium partial 16S ribosomal RNA
Rfam family: Bacterial small subunit ribosomal RNA
Source: RNAcentral
GUCGAGGGGUAUGGUAGCAAUACCAGAGACCGGCGCACGGGUGCGUAACGCGUAUGCAAUCUACCUUUUACAGAGGGAUAGCCCAGAGAAAUUUGGAUUAAUACCUCAUAGUAUUACGACCCGGCAUCGGGAUGCAAUUAAAGUCACAACGGUAAAAGAUGAGCAUGCGUCCCAUUAGCUAGAUGGUAAGGUAACGGCUUACCAUGGCAACGAUGGGUAGGGGUCC